Long non-coding RNA from Manduca sexta (tobacco hornworm), 270 nucleotides. RefSeq lists it as uncharacterized. The transcript is spliced from 2 exons. The record is from RefSeq and is a predicted model, not a curated record. Lineage: Eukaryota; Metazoa; Arthropoda; Insecta; Lepidoptera; Sphingidae.
UUUGAUAGAAUUCUUAUUAUGUUCAUGCCCCAAAAGUAUCAACCCGAUCAUAUGUUCUUGAGACAGGUGCCAAUACGUCGUGUACACCUAUUCACUGCAAUCCAACUGACGUGUCUCGUCUGCUUGUGGGUGAUAAAAUCUUUUUCAAUGACUUCCAUACUCUUCCCUUUGAUGUUAGUUGUAAUGAUUGGGAUAAGGAAAGCGUUGGAUUUCUUCUUCACGAGGAGGGAGAUGAAAAUUCUCGAUGACGUCAUGCCGGAGAUGACAAAA